GGGGAUUUGGCUCAGUGGUAGAGUGCUUGCCUAGGAAGCGCAAGGUCCUGGGUUCAAUCCCCAGCCCUG
Molecule: transfer RNA, 69 nt
Filed under: Rattus norvegicus (Norway rat)
Lineage: Eukaryota; Metazoa; Chordata; Mammalia; Rodentia; Muridae
Rfam family: tRNA
About the family: Transfer RNA (tRNA) molecules are approximately 80 nucleotides in length.
Source: Rfam by way of RNAcentral